CCUACGGGGGGCAGCAGUGGGGAAUAUUGCUCAAUGGGCGAAACCCUGACGCAGCGACGCCGCGUGAGGGAUGAAGGUCUUCGGAUCGUAAACCUCUGUCAGCAGGGAAGAACGGUCACUGUGCUAAUCAUCAGUGAAUUGACAGUACCUGCAAAGGAAGCACCGGCUAACGCCGUGCCAGCGGCUGCGGUAAUACGGAGGGUGCGAGCGUUAAUCGGAAUUACUGGGCGUAAAGGGCGCGUAGGCGGUAUGUCAAGUCAAGGGUGAAAUCCCCGGGCUCAACGUGGGAACUGCCUUUGAAACUGGCAGACUGGAGUGUGUGAGAGGAUAGUGGAAUUCCAGGUGUAGGAGUGAAAUCCGUAGAUAUCAGGAGGAACAUCGGUGGCGAAGGCGACUAUCUGGCACGUGACUGACGCUGAGGAGCGAAGGCGUGGGUAGCAAACAGGAUUAGAUACCCGAGUAGUC
This 465-nucleotide ribosomal RNA is filed under the name uncultured bacterium. RNAcentral describes it as "partial 16S ribosomal RNA". It matches the Rfam family "Bacterial small subunit ribosomal RNA", at positions 338 to 795 of the family's 1533-position model. The record is from RNAcentral.